This 100-nucleotide small nuclear RNA is filed under the name Ipomoea nil (Japanese morning glory). RNAcentral describes it as "U2 spliceosomal RNA". It matches the Rfam family "U2 spliceosomal RNA". Rfam says of the family: U2 is a small nuclear RNA (snRNA) component of the spliceosome (involved in pre-mRNA splicing). Complementary binding between U2 snRNA (in an area lying towards the 5' end but 3' to hairpin I) and the branchpoint sequence (BPS) of the intron results the bulging out of an unpaired adenosine, on the BPS, which initiates a nucleophilic attack at the intronic 5' splice site, thus starting the first of two transesterification reactions that mediate splicing. Lineage: Eukaryota; Viridiplantae; Streptophyta; Magnoliopsida; Solanales; Convolvulaceae. The record is from Rfam by way of RNAcentral.
UUACCUUUCUCGGCCUUUUGGCUAAGAUCCAGUGUAGUAUCUGUUUGCCUUCAAGUUUCGCCUUGGUUUUGCACUAUUGCCUCGGCCUGGCACACCCCAC